Molecule: ribosomal RNA, 393 nt
Filed under: uncultured bacterium
Lineage: Bacteria
Description: partial 16S ribosomal RNA
Rfam family: Bacterial small subunit ribosomal RNA
Source: RNAcentral
AUACGGAGGACGCGAGCGUUAUCCAGAUUCAUUGGGUUUAAAGGGUGCGCAGGCGGCCGUGCAAGUCAGCGGUGAAAGCCCGGGGCUCAACCCCGGAAGUGCCGUUGAUACUGCAUGGCUGGAAUGCGGUCGAGGCGGGCGGGACGUGGCGUGGGGCGGGGGAAUGCGUAGAUAUGCCACAGAACGCCGAUAGCGGAGGCAGCUCGCCAGGCCUGCAUUGACGCUCGGGCACGAAAGCGUGGGGAUCGAACAGGAUUAGAUACCCUGGUAGUCCACGCCGUAAACGAUGGGCGCUCGUCGUCGGCGGCAGACAGUCGGCGGCCAAGCGAAAGCGAUAAGCGCCCCACCUGGGGAGUACGGUCGCAAGGCUGAAACUCAAAUGAAUUGACGGGG